UACGGAAGGCAGCAGUGGGGAAUAUUGCACAAUGGGCGAAAGCCUGAUGCAGCUAUGCCGCGUGUAUGAAGAAGGCCUUAGGGUUGUAAAGUACUUUCAUCGGGGAGGAAAAAACAAAACUAAUAAUUUUAUUUCUUGACGUUACCCGAAAAAGAAGCACCGGCUAACUCCGUGCCAGCAGCCGCGGUAAUACGGAGGGUGCGAGCGUUAAUCGGAAUUACUGGGCGUAAAGGGCACGCAGGCGGUUAAUUAAGUUGGAUGUGAAAUCCCUGGGCUUAACCUGGGAAUGGCAUUCAAGACUGGUUAGCUAGAGUCUUGUAGAGGGGGGUUAGAAUUCCAUGUGUAGCGGUGAAAUGCGUAGAGAUGUGGAGGAAUACCGGUGGCGAAGGCGGCCCCUGGACAAAGACUGACGCUCAUGUGCGAAAGCGUGGGGAGCAAACGAGGAUUAGACUACC
This 455-nucleotide ribosomal RNA is filed under the name uncultured bacterium. Its description in RNAcentral is "bacterial SSU rRNA". It matches the Rfam family "Bacterial small subunit ribosomal RNA", at positions 340 to 787 of the family's 1533-position model. The record is from RNAcentral.